Molecule: ribosomal RNA, 321 nt
Filed under: Triticum aestivum (bread wheat)
Lineage: Eukaryota; Viridiplantae; Streptophyta; Magnoliopsida; Poales; Poaceae
Description: partial small subunit ribosomal RNA
Source: RNAcentral
AUGGACUGGCUGGCGGCAAGAGGCACUAUGCAGAUUAACUGGGAACAGAAGUGGCUUACUUUCGAUCAUUUGGGUCAGAGAAUUUUGCUUCAUGGACAUCCACCUGCUGAGUUUGAGUUAACCGUGGUGGAGUUGCAGUUAGUACAAGGCCAAGAUUCAGUGGCAGUGCCUAUAGAAAUUCAGUCUAUGCUUGAUGAGUUUUCUGAAGUUUUCUCUGCACCAACUCAACUUCCACCGCGAAGAACUUGUGAUCACAAAGUUCCUUUGAUCACUGGAGCUCAACCAGUCAAUGUCAGGCCCUAUGUUACUCUCCUGAGCUGA